AUGGCCAAGGAAGCAGGCAUUCUCACCUCCAUCUCUGUAGCCUCCCCCUUCUCCCUGCCCUCAUCUCCAACAGAUAAUCCAGAACUUCUCCUCCAAGUUUCCUCCCCACUGUUAUCCCAGACCCUGACUCCAGCAGGCUUCUCUGGGAUCCCACGAGCAAUGACUGCCAGAGAAUCAAGUAUGCCAGAGAAGCAGCCUGAGAAAGCCGAAUACCAGAGGGCAUCCGGGCCCUUCUUCAGCAAACAGCGUUACAAUGACGCACAGCUCCAAGAACAAAGGGCAUUCAAAAGAAGGCCAGGGGCCAAGGAGGAGACUCCCUGUAUUGGCUCACUUCUUACCACCACCUUGCACAGUGGGGGCGAUGUCACCUUCCCUAACUGCAGCUCCCCUCAGAGGAGCAGCUGGCUGUGUUCUGGAAACAUGCUCUAUUUUGGAGAAGGAAGCCGGCUCACUGUUGUAGAGGAUCUGAGCAAGGUGAGCCCACCCAAGGUCACCUUGUUUGAGCCAUCAGAAGCAGAGGUUGUCGACAAACAAAUGGCUACCCUCGUGUGCCUGGCCAGGGGCUUCUUCCCUGACCAUGUGGAACUGAGCUGGUUGGUGAAUGGGAAGGAGGUCCACAGUGGAGUCAGCACAGACCCUCAGCCCUCCAAGGAGAGCAAUAACAUCACCUACUGCCUGAGCAGCCGCCUGAGGGUCUCUGCAACCUUCUGGCACAAUCCUCGCAACCACUUCCGCUGCCAAGUCCAGUUCUAUGGGCUGACAGAUGAAGAUGAGUGGAAUGGGGAGCCCUCACUCAAACCUGUCACCCAGACCGUCAGUGCCGAGGCCUGGGGCAGCGCAGAUUGUGGUAUUACCUCAGCAUCCUACCAACAAGGGGUCCUGUCUGCCACCAUCCUUUAUGAGAUCCUGCUGGGGAAGGCCACCCUGUAUGCUGUGCUUGUCAGUACCCUGGUGCUGAUAGCUGUGGUCAAGAGGAAGAAUUCCUGA
Cricetulus griseus (Chinese hamster) is the source of this 987-nucleotide non-coding RNA. The record is from the annotation of a RefSeq genome assembly. Lineage: Eukaryota; Metazoa; Chordata; Mammalia; Rodentia; Cricetidae.